GAUAGCUCAGUCGGCAAAAGCACGAGACUCUUCAUGUCGGCGAGGUUGCGGGUUCGAUUCCUGCACUGCA
Podarcis lilfordi (Lilford's wall lizard) is the source of this 70-nucleotide non-coding RNA. The record is from the annotation of a GenBank genome assembly. Lineage: Eukaryota; Metazoa; Chordata; Lepidosauria; Squamata; Lacertidae.